GUUCCCGCAGUCGCAGAGACCAUCAAUGGGACUCCACAUUCCGCAACGGCCCUUUGAAUUUGAGCUUCGAGAUCAUCGAGCAUCAUUUUUCCGCGGGAAUCAACGCGCACGCUGUAAACAUUACUGGUUCCGAUUCCCAGAGAAUACUGGGGACACUUCGAAAGUGUAGACGGAAGGAUUCAGCGCGUCUGUCAACCAUUGGGCAGCCAGUCCGUAUGGAUCGAUGGACGAGUAUAGUUGAUUUAUGAAACGAGGAUGUCCUGUCUUCACGCUGUAACGAAUCACGCUCUUCGCUAAGGACAGCAGAUCCUCGUGCGUCAAGCCCUUGUCUUCCGGGUUCAGAUUUAUUGCGGACAGGAGGUCUAUUGGUGCCGUCCAUUCGACUACCCGAUUUUUCCUAGAUGUUCCCUGGAAGAAGAGCAUUAAAGAAUUCGAUUAUGCCGUCAUUUAAAUAACAAAUUUUUUUUAACGUACACAAAAGACAUCGAAAUCGCGAAAAAAUAUUUUGUAACAUUUAAAGUAUAAACUAAGAUAUUUGUGCGACUGUGAUUUCGUAGUCUGCAGAGAAAGUCGAUACAUUAUAUACUUUACGCUUACUACGCAGAUACACACUAUAUAAUGAAUUCAAUUUCAACAUCGUUGAUAUGGUCCGGUAUUAUAUCCUUAGAGGUUACUCUGCACCGAGGUAUUAAUUAGGUUUGCAUGCAAUCGAAGCGUAAUAUGAUAUAAUUUGGCAAACAACGAGUAUCCUAUGAAUAUGUGAAAUAGACAGAGGAGCAGAACAACAUAAUAUCUCAGGAUCCGGUUUAAAAUCAUUGUAUCUCAAGUUAACAUUUUGUUCGCCACUGCUGGGUACAUGAUUCUUGAGGGAAUAAAGAUGCACUUCAAUUUA
This is a long non-coding RNA of Neodiprion virginianus, 892 nucleotides long. RefSeq lists it as uncharacterized. The record is from RefSeq and is a predicted model, not a curated record. The transcript has 2 exons. Lineage: Eukaryota; Metazoa; Arthropoda; Insecta; Hymenoptera; Diprionidae.